UGUGGGAGAGGAACAUGGGCUCAGGACAGCGGGUGUCAGCUUGCCUGACCCCCAUGUCGCCUCUGUAGGUAGAAGAAGUAUGUCUUCCUGGACCCCCUGGCUGGUGCUGUAACAAAGACCCAUGUGAUGCUGGGGGCAGAGACAGAGGAGAAGCUGUUUGAUGCCCCCUUGUCCAUCAGCAAGAGAGAGCAGCUGGAACAGCAGGUCCCAGAGAACUACUUCUAUGUGCCAGACCUGGGCCAGGUGCCUGAGAUUGAUGUUCCAUCCUACCUGCCUGACCUGUCCGGCAUUGCCAACGACCUCAUGUACAUUGCCGACCUGGGCCCCGGCAUUGCCCCCUCUGCCCCUGGCACCAUUCCAGAACUGCCCACCUUCCACACUGAGACCUACAAGAUGGGGUACUAACACCACCCCCACCGCCCCCACCACCACCCCCAGCUCCUGAGGUGCUGGCCAGUGCACCCCCACUCCCACCCUCAACCGCGGCCCCUGUAGGCCAAGGCGCCAGGCAGGACGACAGCAGCAGCAGCGCGUCUCCUUCAGUCCAGGGAGCUCCCAGGGAAGUGGUCGACCCCUCCGGUGGCCGGGCCACUCUGCUAGAGUCCAUCCGCCAAGCUGGGGGCAUCGGCAAGGCCAAGCUGCGCAGCAUGAAGGAGCGAAAGCUGGAGAAGAAGAAGCAGAAGGAGCAGGAGCAAGUGAGAGCCACGAGCCAAGGUGGGCACUUGAUGUCGGAUCUCUUCAACAAGCUGGUCAUGAGGCGCAAGGGCAUCUCUGGGAAAGGACCUGGGGCUGGUGAGGGGCCCGGAGGAGCCUUUGCCCGCGUGUCAGACUCCAUCCCUCCUCUGCCGCCACCGCAGCAGCCACAGGCAGAGGAGGACGAGGACGACUGGGAAUCCUAGGGGGCUCCAUGACACCUUCCCCCCCAGACCCAGACUUGGGCCGUUGCUCUGACAUGGACACAGCCAGGACAAGCUGCUCAGACCUACUUCCUUGGGAGGGGGUGACGGAACCAGCACUGUGUGGAGACCAGCUUCAAGGAGCGGAAGGCUGGCUUGAGGCCACACAGCUGGG
This 1071-nucleotide long non-coding RNA is filed under the name Homo sapiens (human). RNAcentral describes it as "lncAB1.2". The record is from RNAcentral. Lineage: Eukaryota; Metazoa; Chordata; Mammalia; Primates; Hominidae.